RNAcentral lists this transfer RNA (73 nucleotides) under Stegodyphus mimosarum. It matches the Rfam family "tRNA". From Rfam's summary of the family: Transfer RNA (tRNA) molecules are approximately 80 nucleotides in length. Their secondary structure includes four short double-helical elements and three loops (D, anti-codon, and T loops). Lineage: Eukaryota; Metazoa; Arthropoda; Arachnida; Araneae; Eresidae. The record is from Rfam by way of RNAcentral.
GCCUUCGUAAUGUAACUGGAACCACGCUCGACUCACAUUCGGGAGGUCUGGAGUUCAAAUCCCAGUGAAGGCA